UAUGUGAUCGUCUCUCGCAUAUCAAUAAGCGGAGGAAAAGAAACUAACAAGGAUUCCCCUAGUAACGGCGAGUGAAGCGGGAAGAGCUCAAAUUUGAAAUCUUAAAGGGUUUCCCUUUACGAAUUGUAGUUUAAAGAAGUGUUUUCUGUUGAGGUUUUGGUAAAAGUUCUUUGGAAUAGGACAUCAUAGAGGGUGAGAAUCCCGUAUUUGACCUUUACUUUCAACUUUGUGAUACACUUUCAAAGAGUCGGAUUGUUUGGGAAUGCAGUCCAAAAUGGGUGGUAAAUUUCAUCUAAAGCUAAAUAUUGGCGAGAGACCGAUAGCGAACAAGUACCGUGAGGGAAAGAUGAAAAGAACUUUGAAAAGAGAGUUAAACAGUACGUGAAAUUGUCAAAAGGGAAGCGUUUGACACCAGUGUUGUUUUUCUGAAAAUCAAUUAAAGAACUGUUUAUGCUAAGCUGUUUAGACUUUAUCAGCUAACUGUUUAGUUUUGAGCUUUUCUUUAAUGCACUUUUCAGUUAACAAGUCAACAUCAAUUUCUUUUGCUGUAAAAAAGCUUGAGGAAGGUGGCUUGAGAUUCGUCUUAAGUGUUUAUAGCCUCUUGCCUAUGCAGUCGGAGAGAUUGAGGUCUGCAGCGUAGAUCCUUCGGGGCUAAGUGCAUUUGUGCUAAGUUAUAGCAUUUUAUAGACAACUUGUUGACUAUGAUUUGUCUUGUAGCUUACUCGCUUAUGUUAUUUUACCUACGCUUAGGAUGUUGAACGCGCACAGAGUCUC
This 774-nucleotide ribosomal RNA is filed under the name uncultured Neocallimastigales. Its description in RNAcentral is "partial large subunit ribosomal RNA". It matches the Rfam family "Eukaryotic large subunit ribosomal RNA", at positions 24 to 635 of the family's 3401-position model. Lineage: Eukaryota; Fungi; Neocallimastigomycota; Neocallimastigomycetes; Neocallimastigales. The record is from RNAcentral.